Molecule: ribosomal RNA, 253 nt
Filed under: uncultured bacterium
Lineage: Bacteria
Description: partial 16S ribosomal RNA
Rfam family: Bacterial small subunit ribosomal RNA
Source: RNAcentral
UACGAAGGGGGCUAGCGUUGUUCGGAAUUACUGGGCGUAAAGGGCGCGUAGGCGGCUGUGCAAGUCAGAUGUGAAAGCCCUGGGCUCAACCCAGGAUGUGCAUUUGAUACUGCAAGUCUCGAGUCCGGAAGAGGUGAGUGGAAUUCCUAGUGUAGAGGUGAAAUUCGUAGAUAUUAGGAAGAACACCAGUGGCGAAGGCGGCUCACUGGUCCGGUACUGACGCUGAGGUGCGAAAGCGUGGGGAGCAAACAGG